AACGAACGCUGGCGGCGUGCUUAACACAUGCAAGUCGAACGGAACGUCCGGGCUUAGUUGCGCUCCUCGAGUUACCAACUGGUGACUAGCACUUAGGUACCCUAUCACUCCCCUAAGGGUAACUUCAUGCCGCUGGGUCUCUUACGGCCUAAGAGUUAUCGCCGUUGGAUGGGCCCGCGUUGGAUUCGCUAGUUGGUAGGGUAAUAGCCUACCAAGGCGUCGAUGCAUAGCUGGUCUGGGAGGAUGGUCAGCCACACUAGGGGUGCGACACGGCCCAGACUCCUACGGGAGGCAGCAGUGGGGAAUAUUGGACAAGGGGCGAAAGCCUGAUCCAGCAAUGCCGCGUGAGUGAUGAAGGCCUUAGGGUUGUAAAGCUCUUUUACCCGGGAUGAUAAUGACAGUACCGGGAGAAUAAGCUCCGGCUAACUCCGUG
RNAcentral lists this ribosomal RNA (433 nucleotides) under uncultured bacterium. Its description in RNAcentral is "partial 16S ribosomal RNA". It matches the Rfam family "Bacterial small subunit ribosomal RNA", at positions 29 to 507 of the family's 1533-position model. The record is from RNAcentral.